GCCGUUAAUUCAUAGCGUUACCAAGUAAUUAAAAUAUUAAACUGUACAACUGUGAGCAACUUCAACUUUUCCAAGUAGGUUCAAAUAUAUCCCGCCGUGCAUGAAAAGCUAAGAAAAAGGUGGGACCGUUUUUAAGCCAGCUUUUAACCCCAAAGAGUUAAGCGAUGCACGCGCAUUCGACAGCGCAUUCGAAGUUGCAGCGUCGAUGCAUUUAUUCGAGGUCACCGGUACUACAAAUUCGACUCGGAUCGGCCUGUGGGGCAGCGUUGAAAUAGAGAGCAGAAUGAGUAACAGGCUCAGACUGACAAUCUGUUUCUUUCAAUAUACGUCGACGAAGCCGCAUUUUUUCGUCGUCGUUCUCGAAGGCCGCGGGUCAAGGGUCGUUCUCCAAGUAGAAUCGUCUGCGUUCGAAUACGAAUUCGACAGACUCCGGAACGUACGCUUGCGAACUGUUCUCGUGACAGCACUUUGGGGACAGCGCAUUGUGCAAGAUAAAUGUACCUAAUUUUGGAACAUCCUUCAGGGAGUAUAAAAUUUUCAUCGAUUUGAUUAUGAACUGGAAAUUGUUAUUGUUGUAUGUUUAUACCACUGUUCGAUAGAUAAACGUUUCUGGAAAACGUAACGAACUUUGAAAUAUUUAUUUAAAAUGCGUAGAAAAUGAAAAUUAAUAAAGUAGUUAAGUAUGA
Molecule: non-coding RNA, 686 nt
Organism: Megalopta genalis
Lineage: Eukaryota; Metazoa; Arthropoda; Insecta; Hymenoptera; Halictidae
Source: RefSeq, a predicted model, not a curated record